GCCGCGGUAGUAUAGCCCGGUCAAUCCUGUGCGUCUAGGAACCGAAAGUAUGCAGGCCUUUCGAGCCUGUGACCCGGGUUCAAAUCCCGGCCGCGGCA
RNAcentral lists this transfer RNA (98 nucleotides) under Candidatus Acidianus copahuensis. It matches the Rfam family "tRNA". Rfam says of the family: Transfer RNA (tRNA) molecules are approximately 80 nucleotides in length. The record is from Rfam by way of RNAcentral. Lineage: Archaea; Thermoproteati; Thermoproteota; Thermoprotei; Sulfolobales; Sulfolobaceae.